Molecule: long non-coding RNA, 474 nt
Organism: Camellia sinensis
Lineage: Eukaryota; Viridiplantae; Streptophyta; Magnoliopsida; Ericales; Theaceae
Source: RefSeq, a predicted model, not a curated record
CAAUAUAUAUGUUGAAUAGGAAUGUAAUGGAAGCAAAAAGGACCAAGAGAGAGAAAGAGGAGGACCGAGAGAGAGAGGUAGCGGCUGGAAAUCCAACUCAAGAGUUUAGAAGAAGAAAUAAGGAAGGAAAAGCUAGGAAAGGUGUGGAAUUAAAGGGGAGUUCAAGAAUUUAUCAAAGGUUCAUCAAAUUCAAGAUCUUAGGUGAUCAGGCGCGUGACCAGGCUUAGAGGCAUCUGCCUGGGAUCUGUUUUUGUCAGCCAACUCAUGUGCCUCCCGUGGAGGUUCCGGAUAAGUCAAGUAGCUAUGUGAUUUAAAGUCAAGUUUGGUUUUCUUGUUUGAUUAAACAAGUCUUGUGAAUUUUGUAAAUAGGGCUAAAUCCCUUUUUGUCUAAUCUGUAUAUAUAUAUAUUUAUAAUGACGUAAGGAGGAUGUGUAUAUAUAUGUAUAUAAAAAGUUUCAAUUUUUUUUUUCUGUC